RNAcentral lists this long non-coding RNA (616 nucleotides) under Marmota monax (woodchuck). The record is from RNAcentral. Lineage: Eukaryota; Metazoa; Chordata; Mammalia; Rodentia; Sciuridae.
GGCACUCUCCAUAGUUCUGGAGGCUGCAAGUUUGAGAUCAAAGUGCUGGCAUAUCUGCUCCUGUUGGCCUUCCCAUUGGCCUUCAUGUGGAGGAGAGCAGGCUCUGGCCUCUUUGUGAGGACACUUAUCUCAUGACCUCUUUGACACUGAUGACUGUCCUCAGGCUAUCCCCACACACCAUCCUCUGGGAAUAGGGCUUCAAAAGGUGAAUUUUGGAAGGACACUAACAUUUAGUCUUCAACAGUAGUGUUUCCUUGUAUGGAUAUACAGAUUUCUUUUUUUUUUAAUAGUCCUCUUUUGAGGACCUUUAGGAGCACAUUCUAGUCUUGUCCUUUCACUUAUCUGAGGGAAAUUUCUUCAAGUAGAUCAAUCACGAAAUCCUUGAACAGUGAAGAUCAACUGCACCUACCUUGCAGGGCCACCACAAGACUCUGCCGUAACAGACGACAGCAGACAGCAGGCCCUCCAUGGGGCAGCACCAGCACCCUCAGUCCAGUCACUAACAGACCUCUGCUGAGCCAUGCUCACAGCACACACGGUACAGGGGUCACAGAGCACCAGACUCUCUCUCAGAUGUUAGAACUGAUUAACAUCUUCCAGUUUUGAACAGAAUACU